RNAcentral lists this ribosomal RNA (460 nucleotides) under uncultured bacterium. RNAcentral's name for it is "partial 16S ribosomal RNA". It matches the Rfam family "Bacterial small subunit ribosomal RNA", at positions 338 to 795 of the family's 1533-position model. The record is from RNAcentral.
CCUACGGGAGGCUGCAGUGAGGAAUAUUGGUCAAUGGACGCAAGCCUGAACCAGCCAUGCCGCGUGAAGGAAGACGGCCCUAUGAGUUGUAAACUGCUUUUGUACGAGGGUAAAUUGCGAUACGUGUACCGUGUUGUAAGUAUUUUAUGAAUAAGGAUCGGCUAACUCCGUGCCAGCAGCCGCGGUAAUACGGAGGAUCCAAGCGUUAUCCGGAUUUAUUGGGUUUAAAGGGAGCGUAGGUGGUUCGAUAAGUCAGUGGUGAAAGCCCGGGGCUCAACUCCGGCACUGCAUUUGAUACUGUCAGGCUAGAGUAUAGUUGCGGUAGGCGGAAUGCAUGGUGUAGCGGUGAAAUGCAUAGAGAUCAGACAGAACACCGAUUGCGAAGGCAGCUUACCAAACUGCGACUGACGUUGAGGCACGAAAGCGUGGGGAGCAAACAGGAUUAGAUACCCCGGUAGUC